RNAcentral lists this ribosomal RNA (490 nucleotides) under uncultured bacterium. RNAcentral describes it as "partial 16S ribosomal RNA". It matches the Rfam family "Bacterial small subunit ribosomal RNA", at positions 28 to 507 of the family's 1533-position model. The record is from RNAcentral.
GAUGAACGCUAGCGAUAGGCUUAACACAUGCAAGUCGAGGGGCAGCAUGGUCUUAGCUUGCUAAGACUGAUGGCGACCGGCGCACGGGUGCGUAACGCGUAUGCAACUUGCCUCACAGAGGGGGAUAACCCGUCGAAAGACGGACUAAUACCGCGUACACUCCAUCUUGGGCAUCCAAGGUAGAGGAAAUGAAAUUCGCUGUGAGAUAGGCAUGCGUCCCAUUAGCUAGUUGGUGAGGUAACGGCUCACCAAGGCGACGAUGGGUAGGGGAACUGAGAGGUUGAACCCCCACACUGGUACUGAGACACGGACCAGACUCCUACGGGAGGCAGCAGUGAGGAAUAUUGGUCAAUGGGCGAGAGCCUGAACCAGCCAAGUCGCGUGAAGGAUGACUGUCUUAUGGAUUGUAAACUUCUUUUAUACGGGAAUAACAAGAGUCACGUGUGACUCCCUGCAGGUACCGUAUGAAUAAGCAUCGGCUAACUCCGUG